This 1982-nucleotide long non-coding RNA is filed under the name Homo sapiens (human). RNAcentral describes it as "HSALNT0353141". The record is from RNAcentral. Lineage: Eukaryota; Metazoa; Chordata; Mammalia; Primates; Hominidae.
GAGUUGGGGGAGAGGACCAGAACCACCUGCUGGAGAAGGGGAGCUACGGGGGCCGGGCAGGGUCCAAACGCCUCACGUAGGCGGCGGCGCCACGGUCUUCGGGGUCACAGGGAAGAGAAGGGCUCUCCUCAAGCGGGUGGAAGGAGGGAGGCCUCCCGAGGGAGUGAGACUCUAGGCCACUCCCCCGCAGCAAGGCAGGAUCACCUGCGACGCGGAGAGCGGUUAGAGGGCCCUGGAGUGGAAAAGGGCAGUGGGACCUGGUAGCUUGGGUUCCCUGCAACUUGGGGUUCGACCUCCAGGCAAUGAAGUAGGGAUGGUCCUGCAAGUCAAGAUUCCAGUAGCAAGAGUGCAUCAGAUCUCUGUAAGGAAAAUAACUAACAUUGCUCAGUUCCCUGUAGAGUUGCAGGGCGCUUUAACGUUAUCUCCCUUGGUUCUCCAUCAGGUCGUAGUGGACUAAUUUUACAGGCGAAGUUAAGUGACUUACCCAAAACCUCACAGCUAAUAAACGGCAGAGCCGGCACCCAGCUGUACUGGCUUCCAAUUCUGUUAGCUUACCAGCGCAUCACAUUAUCUCCAUAAAUCCCCAUGAUUCAACUAAUAUUAGACGCCCCACAGGGCUGGAAGGAGUGUUGCUCAACAAUAUCCAAAACCACAGAGGUUGAAAAGCACAAGGAAAGAAGCUGGACCCUGGACACGGUGACUCUGAUUCAAUUAUGCAGAUGACCACAAACCUCUGGGGUUGGCAGAGCCACAAGAAAGAAGGUGCCUGGAUGAAGGAGAGCUACCCACUGACCUGGACACCCAAUUAUAGGAUAGACAGUGAAGUGCAACUACAGCCCGCAAAUGAAAAUGAAUAAUAUUAAUCCAGCCCCUCAAGGCAGUCAUCUGUCUUAGAGCUAUUGGAAUCCUGGAUCAUUGUGGGAAAUGAAAGGAACUGGUUUUUAGCAAGGAGACCAAGAAACUCUACUCCCUAGGGGCUAGCAAUGAGAGAAAGGAAGCCUUAAGUCUUUGAGCACAGGGUGACAGUUUGGGUCCUAUGUGAGAUGAUCAAAUCCACAGCAACAGAGGAAAGGACAAAAGGAAAAGGUCUGUAGCAGCACUACAUCAGAAAAAAAUGGAUUCAGCAAGGAAGUGGGUGACUCUGAGUAAGCAUCCAUGUCAGGAUGGUUUUGCUACAGCCCCCAACAAAACAUUAAUUAGUUUAAGAAACUCAACUUCGGUUUACAAGUGUUUUGGAAAAGUAACAAAGAACAACAUAAGUAACAAAAUAAUUCCUCAGGUCAUUACAAUGGAUGUUUCCUAUAACUGAAAAAUAUGGUUAAAAAGUACAAACUACAUUUGGUGUGCAAACUGUUUAGUUCUUAAUUCCAAACUAAAUUGUACAUUAUAUAGUAAAAUUUUGACCAGAAAAACUUGGAGAUUUUAGUAAAAAUUUCAUUGACAUAUUUACAGCCCCAGUGUAGUUUGGCCGGUGUGCAAAGCCUGACUAAGGAGGUUAUAGAAAAAAAUAUCAGACUUAAGCCCAUCAAAUCAUUAAAGAUGCUUUGGCAAGACUUCAAGCUUUACAGACAUACUCCAUGUGACCAGAGAUGUCAUAACCAGUGUUCUUUCUCUUGAAAUGUUAGAAUGCUUUAGUUUUAUUCUAUAAUUUCCGUGUUCCAUGGAACAGCAUUCAUUUCUCCCAGUUUUAGUAACAUAAUGAGAGAUAUAUUGAGUGUAUAGAGCAGGAAAGACAUGAAAACUUAUAUUGCAUAAUAUUAGCAAACAUAAAAGAUAGCAUUAUAAAUUUUUAAAAAUCCAAAAAAAUUCCAGAAACAGAACAGUGAGCAUGUUUAAAAAGUCAGGACUGACCGUUUCUGUGAGUUCUGAGGACUGUAAAUGAGCCUCAAUCCAUAAAGCUGAGAGGUUGUCUUAGCCCACAUAUGCAGCAGGUGACUCCCUCUGACAAAAGCAAGAUUUAGCUGGAUCUUUUAAAAAAAAAA